This is a long non-coding RNA of Oncorhynchus tshawytscha (Chinook salmon), 577 nucleotides long. The record is from Ensembl. NCBI's taxonomy places the organism in Eukaryota, Metazoa, Chordata, Actinopteri, Salmoniformes, Salmonidae.
GAGAAGCACUAUAGUACAGCUACAUUAGAGAGGAGGAGGAGGGAGAACCACUAUAGUACAGCUACAUUAGAGAGGAGGAGGAGGGAGAACCAGUCAAGCAUAGAUACAUUAGAGAGGAGGAGGAUGGAGAACAAGUCUAGUAUAGAUACAUUAGAGAGGAGGAGGAUGGAGAACAAGUCUAGUAUAGAUACAUUAUAGAGAAUAGGAGAAGGGAAAACCAGUAUAGUAUAGAUACAUUAGAGAGGAGGAGGGAGAACCAGUCUAGUAUAGCUACAUUAGAGAGGAGGAGGAGGGAGAACCAGUCUAUUAUAGAUACAUUAGAGAGGAGGAGGGAGGACCAGUCUAGAACAGCUACAUUAACGAGGCGGAGGACGGAGAACCAGUCUAGUACAGCUCCAUUAAAGAGGAGGGAGAACCAGUCUAGUACAGCUACAUCAGAGAGGAGGAGGGAGAACCAGUCUAGUAUAGAUACAUUAGAGAGGAGGAGGAGGCAGAAACAGUGUAGUAUAGAUACAUUAGAGAGGAGGAGGAGGGAGAACAAGUCUAGUAUAGCUACAAUAGAGAGGAGGAGGGAGAA